GAUGAAGAACGUAGCGAAAUGCGAUAAGUAAUGUGAAUUGCAGAAUUCAGUGAAUCAUCGAAUCUUUGAACGCACAUUGCGCCCCUCGGUAUUCCGAGGGGCAUGCCUGUUCGAGCGUCAUUAUAACCCUUCAAGCUCAGCUUGGUGUUGGGGCCUGCUGUAACUGGUAGCCCUUAAAAUCAGUGGCAGUGCUAUUAGGCUCUAAGCGUAGUAAUUCUUCUCGCCAUAGUGUGUAGUGAGCGCUUGCCAGAACCCCAAACUUUUAUAUGAUUGACCUCGGAUCAGGUAGGGAUACCCGCUGAACUUAAGCAUAUCAAUAAGCGGAGGA
Molecule: unclassified non-coding RNA, 328 nt
Filed under: soil metagenome
Description: partial contains 5.8S ribosomal RNA, internal transcribed spacer 2, and large subunit ribosomal RNA
Rfam family: 5.8S ribosomal RNA (bases 1-120)
Source: RNAcentral